RNAcentral lists this ribosomal RNA (119 nucleotides) under Sorghum bicolor (sorghum). The record is from RNAcentral. Lineage: Eukaryota; Viridiplantae; Streptophyta; Magnoliopsida; Poales; Poaceae.
GGAUGCGAUCAUACCAGCACUAAAGCACCGGAUCCCAUCAGAACUCCGAAGUUAAGCUUGCUUGGGCGAGAGUAGUACUAGAAUGGGUGACCUCCUGGGAAGUCCUCGUGUUGCAUUCC